UUUUUUUUUUUUUCUAAACUGAAAAUGUGACCCAGUUUUCCCAUUGGUUCUUUUCCCUUUCAUGCUAAUUCACGUGAUAGGUGGUACUGAUUUACUAAUUUACCCAGUGGGAAUAAGUACCUUGCAUGGGGAGGAGGUAGGUAGGAAGGAGAGGCUUUUCUGUGGUCUUAAUGGUGGGGCCCACAGGUGGAGAAAUGCAUUCACAGAAGCACUGUGGUGAGAGAGCAUGGGCUCCCCUGCACCUGUAGGCAGUUGGAUGUACCUGGUGGGAGUGUGUGUGCACAUGGAAGGAGAUAAAGUGCAAGACCACUCCCGAGUAGAUGAAGGAAUGAUUGCAUGUACAAGUCCACGGUCUUUCCCUGGGGCAGCUGUUCCCUCACCAAGCAGACUGUUUUUUCUCUGCCCCUUCUUAGCAAGUCGAAGUUUCAAUUAAUAAUCUCCUACUCUGAGAAAUCUCUCAUCCUGGGAGGAAGGGAGAUAAUUGGCAUCAGUGUUCUCUUAUAUUGAGGCUGAGUAGUCAGUGUGAAUUCUAGACAUGGUUCAUGUGUUUGGAUGAUCAGCACAGCUGUUCGUAAUAGGUAACCUAUUUUUUCCCUCCAUAUCUUUUUUGGUUAGGGUGCUGUGUCUAAAAUUAAUGGCUGCCAGUAUUUUUUUGCCUUAAUGCAUGAAUCUUUAAACUAGCCUGAACUUCGUACCCUCUCUCAUAUGAAUCAGGUCUACUACAAUUACCCCCUUCUGUGUCAUUUCCUAGGUUCGUGUCCUUGUGUGAAACAUUAAAUGCAGGACAGAGUUGAAAGUGUCAAGUGAUAACCAGGCAGAAAACUGACGGUUAACAGGCCCAUCUCCUUGAGUUGUUAUCUCAGAGGCUUUCAUGCCAAAAUCUUACUUAUAUAAACGUUACCUGAAACGAGAUAUGUGCUGUUCAUAGAUAUAUUUCACUGUAUCUGGCUGUUCAGUAAUUCAUCUUCAUUUUGGAUAGUGUGUACAUUUAUUGCAAUGAGCUUAAUAACAAUUAUAAUACAAUGACAGUUUUCUAUUAAUGAAUAUUCAGCAACAGGCCCAGUUCUAAGCAGGUGUUGCCCAUUUAUUCCUCACGCCAAGCCCUGGAAGUAGUUACUGUGGGUGGUACCACUUUUUAUAUGAGAAAACUGAGGCACAGAGCUCUUAAGUAACUUACUCCAAGUCCUCAGUUAAGAGUCAGAGUUGGGAUUGGAACCCAGGCAGUCUGGCUCAGAAUUUUUGCUCUCAAUCUCCAUGCUGUAAUGCUUACCCAUUGCUUGAAACAAAGAGCUGGUUGUAGCAUCAAAUAUGAAGAAUGAGACCCUUCAAGUUUUUCUCUUACAAAAUGUAAGUAAUUGCCUGUUUUUGUAUGUGUGUAUAUAUAUUGUUGCAUAGCUUUUGAGAAACACUGACAAACAGUAAGACUAAAGAAAUUUCUUAAUACCUCAUUGCCUAGAAGAAUUUUGACUGUAUGUGAGUGCAAAAGAUUGUUGGUUAAGGUUAAUUUUAAGUGUAAUAUGUUUUAGAAUUUUGUCAUACUCAUUGUAUGUUUCCACAUGUUCAUAUUCUUAGGGAGACUGAAUUAAAAAAAAACAGCAACAAAAAUUCCCCUGCCCCUUGUGCCAAAAACAUGAUUAUGAGGUCUCUGUGCCCAGAUGACGUGUUUUGUUAUCUGAACCAAGAACAUAAGCUUAAUCCCUGCAGUGACCACAGAUUUAAGCUCCAGUACCUUUUUAUUUAAAUGAAAAAUUUUAUUUAUUUUUGUUUUUUGAAGUGAACAGGCCUUCUUACUGACAUUUUUGUAAGUAACUGCUUAUCUCUUGGUUUAGACCGUAGAUACUAUCUCGAAGAGUUAGCAUUUGAACUGUGUGCAGUUUUGUCCCAGAGAACUGGUCUGAGGUCUAGGGUUUCUUCAGGCAGGAAUCCAGGGUUGUGAAAACAAUGGGGCUAUUUAUUCAUGUCACCUGGAGGGCAGUUAACAUCCUGCCACUCUCAGCUGGUCUGAUACACUAACGUCAGGGGUGUGGGGUGGCCUGGACGUUUCUUAAGAGUUUUCUCAUGAGUGACUCUGCUCACAUAAAUUGUAGGACCAGACAGAUUAGUUUGUGAGCCUGAAAUCAUUCUUGGCCCAGGGUUCGUGACACUUUUCAGUCAACCAGAGCUGUUCUGAUAUUUGAGAUUUGCUGAUAGCUCUUGGUUCAGAAAAAGGUUUGCAUUUCUGAGCUGCUUUUCUAUGAUGGGGAUCAUCUUAAUUCUUAUCUGUGAGAUUGAGCUCAAGGAAAUAAGUGAGAACUGGAUUCAGCUGUUUGGGGACCCUUGCAGACCAUGAGCCUCUUAGUGCCUGAUGGGACAGCCAACAGGUCUUAGGUGAUGGUGAUGACGGAGAUGGUCUCUAGCCAGAACCUGCUAGCACAAGCCCUGAUGAAUUGACAGUGAGGCCUGCUAUCAGACUUUAACACACUGCAAUAACAACUAUAGGCAAAAGAAGGUUAGAGUGUUGCUAUGUAUUCUUACAUUUCCUCCUCCACUGCAUUGUUUUCAAUAGGGUAUUGAAAUCAAAUGUAAACAGAUAAUUGGCUUAAGCGGGACUGUACUGAGAUUACUUCCUUCGUUCCAGUGUGAGGUUUUCCCUGCUCUGUGGCAGCUCCAGGCACUAAAUAUCUACCACCCCCACCCCACCGCCAAACUGCCCAGUAGCACAUCUUAGGCUAAUCUGAGUAUUAUGAUUAUUGGAGGGGAAGGCCAUACUGGUGUUUUAGAAAGCUCUCAUCAUGAAUGUGUUUUAGGGUGAGCAGUACUUACUAACAGAUGAACAGCUUGAAGUUAAGUCAAACAAAACCUUUAGUGUUUGUAAGGGACAAGGAUCCAGGGUGUGUAUGAAACUUAGCUUUAUGUUGACACAGGGACUGUACAGAAGCCAUGGGAACUUCGAACUCACGGACUUGUAGGAUGGUUGUUGGCUAGGGUCUUGGGUGGGGAGAUGCAUGCCUUCAAAGUUGUCAAAGUUUUCCUAUGGAAAUUUCUAGACACUCGUGAAUGACUUAAACACCUUAGAGUAUUCUUGGUCUUGUCAGCUGACAAAUGGAGGUUUGAACAUGGGUGUUCAAUGGGAUUUGAAUGUAGUUUUAUUCAGGGAAAGAGAAACAGGGCGUUCUGGGUGUUGAGGAUGCAAAUGACAUUACCGUAAGGGCUUGCUUUCCACUUUGGACUAGAUAAUCCAUGGUAUUGUUGAGUACAGGGCAUCACAAUUUUAACAGCCUGGCUUCCUGAGAAGUUUCAGUUCUAGCACAGUCACCAUAGGCAGCAACACUGUUAAAUAAACAAAGGUUUAAUUAAAUAGAAAAUGCUUAAACAGAGCAAAAUAUUCCUCUGUGGCUAGUCACAAAUUGGACAACUCAGAGAACAAAUUGUGGAGGAAUUGCCAAUGGAUUACUUUUUCUGUUCCCUGUGUACUGCUAUGUUUUUCUUCUUGGUGUCAAGUCUCAAGUUGAAUUCAGUCAAUUAUCUAUACCAAACAAAACGUGCAUCAAUGGCUCUUCUGUUACUGUUGCUUCUAUUUCAUCACUAAACAAAGCUAGUUUCCAUUCCCAGCUUCUUCCUUUGGGAGCAUAGAGAACUGACAGUUGGAUAUUGUGGAGGUUCUGUUUUCACUUUGAAAGCAUAAUGACUGACUUAGUUAUUUAAAAGUUUAUUUUUUUUUUUUUUUGGUUGCUAAUGUUAGACUUGCUGCAAAAUUUCUUAAAGGAGGCACACCAUUUGCUGAGGAUUUUAAAGGAUUUGUCAUUAGGUAAAGUAUGUCGAGUAUCUAAGGGUGUGAUGUUGGGGUUACCUGUGGGUCAAUUCCAUUUUUUUCUUGCUUUUCUAUUUCAAUCACUUCUUUAGACUUACAAAUGCUUUACACAGAUCCAUUAAGAAGUACAAAUUUGGAAGUAUGGUAUAGCAAGUAGAUGAUGUAACUAAUACUUCAAAAUGUAAU
RNAcentral lists this long non-coding RNA (3976 nucleotides) under Sus scrofa (pig). RNAcentral's name for it is "lncRNA (ENSSSCG00000049042.2)". Lineage: Eukaryota; Metazoa; Chordata; Mammalia; Artiodactyla; Suidae. The record is from RNAcentral.